This 727-nucleotide ribosomal RNA is filed under the name uncultured eukaryote. RNAcentral describes it as "SSU rRNA". It matches the Rfam family "Eukaryotic small subunit ribosomal RNA", at positions 674 to 1426 of the family's 1831-position model. The record is from RNAcentral.
GGCCAUGUUGGUUAACAGAUCCUCAUCUGCUGGACGUCUGGCGAUGAUCUUUAUCGGUUGUCGUCAGUUGCCAGCACGUUUACUUUGAGAAAAUUAGAGUGCUAAAAGCAGGCUCACGCCUAUAUAUAUUGCAUGGAAUAAUGAAAUAAGAUCUCGAUUUUAUUUCGUUGGUUUUAGAAAUUGAGAUAAUGAUUAAUAGGAUCAGAGGGGGGCGUACGUACUGUGGUGUGAGAGGUGAAAUUCUUGAUCGCCACAGGACGAACAGCAGCGAAGGCGUUCGCCAAGAAUGUUUUCAUUAAUCAAGAACGAAAGUUUGAGGUUCGAAGACGAUUAGAUACCGUCCUAGUUCAAACCAUAAACGUUGCCAACUGUCUUUUAGAUGCGGUUAUUUAUAUGACUCAUCUGGCGGAUCUCGAGAAAUCUAAGUUUUUAGGUUCCGGGGGAAGUAUGGUUGCAAAGCUGAAACUUAAAAGAAUUGACGGAAGGACACACAAGAAGUGGAGCCUGUGGCCUAAUUUGACUCAACACGGGAAACCUUACUCGGCCAGGACACUUUUAGGAUUGACAGAUUGAGAGCUCUUUCUUGAUUAGGUGGGUGGUGGUGCAUGGUCGUUCGUAGUUCGUGGAGCGAUUUGUCUGAUUAAUUUCGAUAACGAACGAGACUCCGGCUUACUAAAUAGUCUAAAGUUCGAAGGGACUUUUCAAGACUUCUUAGCAGGAUAAGUGG